RNAcentral lists this transfer RNA (55 nucleotides) under Bradypodion pumilum. RNAcentral's name for it is "tRNA-Cys". Lineage: Eukaryota; Metazoa; Chordata; Lepidosauria; Squamata; Chamaeleonidae. The record is from RNAcentral.
AGUCCAGGGAUCUGUAACGACCUAAUUCGAAUUUGCACUUCGAGCUCUCUGGGCU